UUUUAUCUUCGGGGCAGGGUGUAAUUCCCUACCGGCAGUAUAGCCUGCGAGCCUUAUUGGUUGAUUCGGUGUGAUUCCGAAGCCGACGGUAAAGUCCGGAUGAAAGAAGAUAAAC
RNAcentral lists this non-coding RNA (115 nucleotides) under Ruminococcus flavefaciens. RNAcentral's name for it is "FMN sequence". It matches the Rfam family "FMN riboswitch aptamer (RFN element)". Rfam says of the family: The RFN element is a highly conserved domain that is found frequently in the 5'-untranslated regions of prokaryotic mRNAs that encode for flavin mononucleotide (FMN) biosynthesis and transport proteins. This element is a metabolite-dependent riboswitch that directly binds FMN in the absence of proteins. The record is from RNAcentral. Lineage: Bacteria; Bacillati; Bacillota; Clostridia; Eubacteriales; Oscillospiraceae.